Girardinichthys multiradiatus is the source of this 434-nucleotide long non-coding RNA. RefSeq lists it as uncharacterized. The transcript has 2 exons. Lineage: Eukaryota; Metazoa; Chordata; Actinopteri; Cyprinodontiformes; Goodeidae. The record is from RefSeq and is a predicted model, not a curated record.
CCUCGUGUCAGCCACACACUUCCCCCUUGCUCCCUCUGCCCUGCAGCUCCGUUCACCUGCCCGCACCGCUGCAGGAGUGUCAUAUUUCAGCGAUGAGGCAACUUUGCACCAAUGAGCUGCGGUGAGAACGGUUAGGGAGCGUGGUGGGAACUCUCCUCCCAUCGCUUGCCUCUCUACCUGGGAACCGAGGCAGCCUCAGGGAAGGACCGCCUAUCCGCCCGCUGUCUGAAUGAACAGCAAACAAAAAAACUCUCACCAACAGUCUCUGGUUUACAGCAGUUCUGCACAGAAGAAGGAGAUGUUUGCUCAUUCUCUCACCAGAAGGGGGCUGGUUGAAGGCAAUCGCAGUGAGCAAAUAUGAUCUGGAGGUCGUGCCGUAACCACAUGCGUGUUCCUGUCACGACUAUUAAAUUUAUUUGACGUGUGCAUUCUCA